CUGCUUUUGUGGGGUGCUCGAGUGGCGAACGGGUGAGUAACACGUGAGUAACCUGCCCUUGACUUUGGGAUAACUUCAGGAAACUGGGGCUAAUACCGGAUAGGAGCUCCUGCUGCAUGGUGGGGGUUGGAAAGUUUCGGCGGUUGGGGAUGGACUCGCGGCUUAUCAGCUUGUUGGUGGGGUAGUGGCUUACCAAGGCUUUGACGGGUAGCCGGCCUGAGAGGGUGACCGGCCACAUUGGGACUGAGAUACGGCCCAGACUCCUACGGGAGGCAGCAGUGGGGAAUAUUGCACAAUGGGCGGAAGCCUGAUGCAGCAACGCCGCGUGCGGGAUGACGGCCUUCGGGUUGUAAACCGCUUUCGCCUGUGACGAAGCGUGAGUGACGGUAAUGGGUAAAGAAGCACCGGCUAACUACGUGCCAGCAGCCGCGGUGAUACGUAGGGUGCGAGCGUUGUCCGGAUUUAUUGGGCGUAAAGGGCUCGUAGGUGGUUGAUCGCGUCGGAAGUGUAAUCUUGGGGCUUAACCCUGAGCGUGCUUUCGAUACGGGUUGACUUGAGGAAGGUAGGGGAGAAUGGAAUUCCUGGUGGAGCGGUGGAAUGCGCAGUUAUCAGGAGGAACACCAGUGGCGAAGGCGGUUCUCUGGGCCUUUCCUGACGCUGAGGAGCGAAAGCGUGGGGAGCGAACAGGCUUAGAUACCCUGGUAGUCCACGCUGUAAACGGUGGGUACUAGGUGUGGGGUCCAUUCCACGGGUUCCGUGCCGUAGCUAACGCUUUA
RNAcentral lists this ribosomal RNA (776 nucleotides) under uncultured bacterium. RNAcentral describes it as "bacterial SSU rRNA". It matches the Rfam family "Bacterial small subunit ribosomal RNA", at positions 75 to 862 of the family's 1533-position model. The record is from RNAcentral.